GACGAACGCUGGCGGCGUGCUUAACACAUGCAAGUCGAACGGAAAGGCCCUGCUUUUGUGGGGUGCUCGAGUGGCGAACGGGUGAGUAACACGUGAGUAACCUGCCCUUGACUUUGGGAUAACUUCAGGAAACUGGGGCUAAUACCGGAUAGGAGCUCCUGCUGCCUGGUGGGGGUUGGAAAGUUUCGGCGGUUGGGGAUGGACUCGCGGCUUAUCAGCUUGUUGGUGGGGUAGUGGCUUACCAAGGCUUUGACGGGUAGCCGGCCUGAGAGGGUGACCGGCCACAUUGGGACUGAGAUACGGCCCAGACUCCUACGGGAGGCAGCAGUGGGGAAUAUUGCACAAUGGGCGGAAGCCUGAUGCAGCAACGCCGCGUGCGGGAUGACGGCCUUCGGGUUGUAAACCGCUUUCGCCUGUGACGAAGCGUGAGUGACGGUAAUGUGUAAAGAAGCACCGGCUAACUACGUG
RNAcentral lists this ribosomal RNA (468 nucleotides) under uncultured bacterium. RNAcentral describes it as "partial 16S ribosomal RNA". It matches the Rfam family "Bacterial small subunit ribosomal RNA", at positions 28 to 507 of the family's 1533-position model. The record is from RNAcentral.